UAUAUCUCCAUUAUUGUUUCUUAUCUUAUCUUUCCAGCUGGCAUUUUGUCUUCUUUUAUUUUAGAUGUACUUCUGGAAUAAUGUUAUCUUCUCCAUUACAUCUUGAACAUUGGUGAUCUGGGUAUUUGUGUCCAAUUAUUUUACAAUAUCUUGUCAGUAGUCCGUCUGAAAUAAAUCCUUUUUUAAUUGCUCUUGCGGUAGAUUGUUUUUCUGGGUUGAGUAAUGUCAUU
This 230-nucleotide long non-coding RNA is filed under the name Capsicum annuum. RNAcentral describes it as "long non-coding RNA (CANN_LNC008160)". The record is from RNAcentral. Lineage: Eukaryota; Viridiplantae; Streptophyta; Magnoliopsida; Solanales; Solanaceae.